RNAcentral lists this ribosomal RNA (448 nucleotides) under uncultured bacterium. RNAcentral's name for it is "partial 16S ribosomal RNA". It matches the Rfam family "Bacterial small subunit ribosomal RNA", at positions 330 to 794 of the family's 1533-position model. The record is from RNAcentral.
GCCAGACUCCUACGGGAGGCAGCAGUAGGGAAUUUUGCGCAAUGGGGGAAACCCUGACGCAGCAACGCCGCGUGAUCGAUGAAGCCCUUCGGGGUGUAAAGAUCUGUCAGUGGGGACGAAACCUGACGGUACCCACAGAGGAAGCACCGGCUAAAUACGUGCCAGCAGCCGCGGUAAUACGUAUGGUGCAAGCGUUAUCCGGAUUUACUGGGUGUAAAGGGAGCGCAGGCGGCCUUGCAAGUCUGAUGUGAAAGGCCGGGGCCCAACCCCGGGACUGCAUUGGAAACUGCGAGGCUGGAGUGUCGGAGAGGCAGGCGGAAUUCCUAGUGUAGCGGUGAAAUGCGUAGAUAUUAGGAGGAACACCAGUGGCGAAGGCGGCCUGCUGGACGAUGACUGACGCUGAGGCUCGAAAGCGUGGGGAGCAAACAGGAUUAGAUACCCCCGUAAU